RNAcentral lists this ribosomal RNA (228 nucleotides) under uncultured bacterium. RNAcentral describes it as "partial 16S ribosomal RNA". It matches the Rfam family "Bacterial small subunit ribosomal RNA", at positions 28 to 255 of the family's 1533-position model. The record is from RNAcentral.
GACGAACGCUGGCGGCGUGCUUAACACAUGCAAGUCGAGCGGCAGCGCGGGGGCAACCCUCGGCGGCGAGCGGCGGACGGGUGAGUAACGCAUCGGAACGUGUCCUCUUGUGGGGGAUAACCAGUCGAAAGACUGGCUAAUACCGCAUGAGCUCGUAAGAGGAAAGCAGGGGACCCGCAAGGGCCUUGCGCGAGAGGAGCGGCCGAUGCCCGAUUAGCUAGUUGGNGA